CCUCUUGAGGGAACACACCGUCGUACGUCCGCUUCAGACUGGCUCUCUCUCUUCCACACCGCCCUCACGUGCGAGUAGGUACUUGGUAUCCUGCCACCCACUUGAUCGCGCUGGAGGGUAGCACAGCGUUAAACAGAGCUGACGGCUGUCCACGGUGGUCGGCGUCGUGCAUACGCACAGCAGAACGUUUUUCCUCACUUGUGCCGUCGCAGCCGCCCCCUACCCCUCCCUCCCUCCCCCCGCUGCCCUGCAGCCCUCUCCGUCUGGUAAUCCUCGCGCCGCUGCUUUUCUUUUAUUGUUUGCGAUUUUUCCCUCGUGCUUCUACCAAACCAUUUGCAAGGUAGCGGGCGUACUGACGGGUGCCACCACCGUCCCCGUUUUGCGGCGAAGAGACUCUGUGAAGCACCCUCCGCCCUUGCCCGUCUCUUCUUGUUUUGCUCCGCCCUGCAAGCACGACAACAUAUUUGACCGAUUACCCCUCCACGAGGCGUUGGUGCCUGUGCGCUGCUGCUGGUCAAAUCCGUUCUAUAUUUGGGCCGCCCCUUUACUUUUUCGCGUCUGUGUCGAGUGCAGGCUUGUCGGCUGCGUCAGCGCGAGGAGGGGUCUGCCGUUGCGUCUGCUUUGUGCUGCAUUUCUUUUUCUCCGCUGCCCCCCUCCCCCUCCCCAAAGAAAACCAAACAAAUCCACGCUGCCUUUCGUGCUUUCUUCUGGCUCCCGUUUCUUAAUCCCCGUCUUCUCGCGACACGUGGUGUUUGGCUGUUGCCGGCCUGGGGAACGCGGUGCAGCCAAGACACUCUCGCCCACUCGGUGCGUGUGCGCGUUGGUGACUCACUCUUGCCGGCCCUCUCUUCCCUUCGCCCGCAUUUUGAUUGACGGGCUGCGGUGUGCCAGCGAGAGGUUUUGCGACGGAGCGAGUCUUUCGCUCUUCGGCCCCUCGUUUUCGGCUCCUCGUGAGUGUGUAGCUGUGACGUCCCGUGUGCGUGCACGUGUGUGUGCGCGCGCGUGUGAACCGCCCCCCGCCGUCUUCCCUUCAGCCUGAGGUGCGGAGAAGAAGAACACAACCUCGACGUGUGACACCGCUCCAUUCCGAGGCACAAAGGCAGAGGAGUAGCACAGCGGAGGCCAGCGCCCGCACGGACAAGCAGCGCUGCUACCGUCCACUGCGGACGCGCACACUGGCUCGCCUGCGCGCAGCACUACCCUAGACCGUCGUCACCUGCGGAGACGCAGCCUCUUUCUCCAUCUCCGAAAAAGCGGCCGGCGGUGCAACGUCGCUUGAGACGCAGAGCGAGCGGAUCGAUACGCCUCCUCGCGUAGUGCAAGCGCGAUCAGGAUCUUCUCUGUUCCGGGUGAGUGUGUGCCCGUCAGCAGAGCUGGAGCCGUAUAAGCUCCAGCAUAUUUCUCGCCACGCACCGAGAGACGUGCAGGGUGCGUUGAGCGGCGUCCCCGAAGAGGACGAGGCACGCAGCAGAUCCAGACAAAACUUCGGCGCUGUAACAGUGACGCAUCCGUCGGAAGGGAAGCGAGAGAAGAGGAGGCGGUGCAUCGACGCGAGAGGGACUACACAUCUGUAAUCGGCGGCACGGCAAGGUGGUGGGGGUGGCUAUUGCGAAGCAGACGUAGCUCCCUCCCCCCAUCCCGCCAGACACAGCGGCGCCGAUACACGCAACAGUGCGCAGUGUAGGGCGAAAAGGCAGCUCGGCUUCUGUCUCUCUCUCUUCCGGCACUCGUGCUGCCGUCUUUGCUGCUUCACCUCUCCGCCACUCUCUAUAUUUCUUGCCAUCUACCUGUGUCUGCCCAUCUCGCACACGUUUUCAGUGUGUGGGCGUGCUCUCCUGUGAGUGCUUGCAUUUUGUUGUUGGUGCAGCAGAGUGGGACGCCCCCUAUCUAUCUAUAUAUUUAUUUAUCUUUUCAUCUUUUAUUUUGCCCCUCUGGGCUUUCUGAAAUCGGCACCAAUCGGCGCCUGUGCCUUUCCUGGGAGACUUCCUCCCCCUGCCCUCCCUCCACCUUUACCCCCCGGCGAGUGUGUGUGUGUCUCCGUUUUUGCCUGCUUCCGUGACCCCUUCGCUUCUCCCUUGUGCUCUGCGUGUUUUCUCUUGAAGUGCUGUGCUCUGCCUUUUGGUUAUGGUUGGUGUCUUCAUAUCAUUUUUAUGGUUUCCUUUCCAGUGUGAGCGACCAUUCGUAUAUUUCUGCCUCUCCUCUGCCUUUGAGUUCUGUCCGUGCGUGUGCGCGUGCGUGCGUCUCUCUCUUUCUGUGUGUGUGCUGUGCUGCGUUGUGCAAGGUGGUGAGCGCUCUCCCCCGGAGGCGUGGACUGUACUGCCGACCGUUUUCUCUGCCCUUGUGCUCCAGUUGCGUUCUUGUGACUUUUUGUGCUCUUGCUUCUCCUCGCUUUCCGUUGACACCUUGCACAGAGGUGCUGCCGCAUCCGCUGCUUCACGUGCUCCUCCUUGUGCCCGCCCCCGCCUCUCCUUCCGCCCUCUUCUGUGUGUGUGUGUGUGGCCGUUGAUUCUCUUCUCUCGCCUCUUCCGCUGACCGCGGACAUUUUCUUCGUUUUUUUUUGCCGCACCCGCUUUCUCUCGAUAUUUCGUGCUGCGUGUACACACGCCUGCCGGCACCCCGUUCUCCUCUCCGCUAUCCCCACGCUUGCCUCCUUUGCUUGUCGCGUCGACUUCAGCGCUCGAACCUCCGCCACAUCGCCGCCCCCCCUGUCGCUCCGUCCCUCUCACGCAGCUCUCUCUGUGUCGUGUGUGCCGUGCGCGCCCAGUCUUUCUCUCCCUCUUCCGCUUUUUGCUGGUUCGCUUAUUGUGGGCGUUGUGCUUGCUGCCUUUUCCUGCUGCUACCCCCUCCCCUCCGGCACGACUCGGCAGUCUGCCGCCAGGAACGGACUGAGCUGGACGCGGUGGUGCGUGUGCAUUCGGUGCGGCACGUCGGCACCCGCUCAUAGCGUGUCACGGAGAGAGCCGAAAGACACGCACGCGGACGGCAGAACCCGUCCGUGACCACAACCGUCGCGCGUGGCGCAGUGGCAAAACAGGAUUCCUCGUACGAGGUGCAGCUAGAGGCGAUGGGCGCCGCAAACAAGAAUACACAGCGCGACAGGGCCGCUUCAGGGAUGUCGACCUUGUCUCCUCCGAGAAGCACUCGUGAGACGGCGCUGUGCGAUGGCACGGAGAACUCGCCGGACAACUGUGCGGUGCAGCGGCCCGGGGAGCGCACGUGUCUGAAGCCGCUCAAUAAUGGAGGGGCCCAGAGCGGACCGACCAGCAGUGCGCAGCGCCAUUCGGAGGGCGAUGAGGUCGAGCUGAGGAACGUGAACGAGGUCGACAAGAGCGGCUUCGGCGUCGGAGGUGAUUCGCACAAGGGCGGUUCCUCGCGAAGCACCGGCGAUGCGCUAGAGGACGGCAAAGACAAGUACGAUGUCUACAUGCGCGCGGUCGAGGCGCAACGCCGCUCGGAAACGUCCACUUCGCUGUCAAGUGACUGCAGCAGCUUCUGCUUUCAGCUUGUUGUAACAGUGAAGCGCAUGCUCAUCCUGCAGUCCCGCGACCCCUUGUCGUUGGCGUGCGAGCUCAUCACGCCGAUUUUCUUUCUUGUGGGCUCCAUCAUCCUGUGGGGCGUCAUCAAGAAGGGCUUCGUCCCGGCGUCUGACUACUUCAGCGUGGCGGGAGAGUCUAUCACGAAUGCGGUGAUGACGCAGGCGACGGACAUGAUGUGCUAUAAUGCGACGCUCACUGGCGGGGCCCCGAUCGAGGGUCUCCUGGAGUGUCGCGAGUUCCUCAAAAAGCCUUUAUUUCUGCCGACGCUGUUGUGCGCUGAGAGCAACAUCACCGGCGCCCCGGUCGGCUUGUGCGUUUCGGAGAUCUAUGCUCUGAGCGCGUAUGCUACGAUGCGCGGCUAUGCGACACGGAACACGACCCGUGUUCCGACGGUGGAUGAGAUGAUCUUGCUGCAGUGGGCAUGGCGCCUCCUGUACCACUGGAGCGGUGUCUCGUUAGACCGUUUCCAGACGGUGGACUCCGCCAUGUUAUCCAGCGGCACUCUCUAUUUUGCGCCGGCGUCCACUGAGACGGAGGCGCUCGUUGCGUACUUCCGCAAGACUUCCAUCUAUUUCCAGUACGUCUACGGCGGCACCUUCGCCACAGUGGCGGAGGCGGAGGCGAGGGUGCAGAGCCGCACCUGGCGUGACCCGCCCAUCUGGGGCAUCGUUCAAGUGAGCAACUUGACAGCGGAAAUGUUUGAUGUGGCCAUUCGCCUGAACGCGACGGCGCUGCCACGAACGAAGUGGAUGUUGGCACGCUACUACGUCGGUGGCGUGGUGGCGGAGGGGCCGGUCAUGUACAUCCUCUCCGGCUUCACGACGCUGCAGCAGACCGUGUACCAAUACUUCCUGACAAGGAUACUCGGUACGACAAGUACGCCGAGUGCGGAGCUGCUGAUGCUUCCCGCGCCGACACGCGGCUACAGGGAUGACCAGUUUCUCGCUUACGGCGGGCGGUUUGUGCCCCUUAUCCUCGUGCUCGGCUUCCUGUACCCGGUGUCGCAGAUGACAAAACGCAUCGUGCUGGAGAAGGAGCUGCGCUUGCGGGAGGCGAUGCUGAUCAUGGGGCUGUCUGAAGUGGUCAUGUACACGGCGUGGUUCUUGAUUUACGUGGCGCAGUACGCGGCCGUCUCGCUCAUCAUGGCGAUUCUGCUGCGGGCGACGUACUUGGCGAAGUCGAACUUCGGCAUCGUCUUUUUCCUGCUCUUCUUUUUCUCACUUUCCAUCAUCACGCUGUCGGGGCUCAUGGCGGUGUUCUUCAACAAGGCGCGCCUGUCGGCGAUCCUGGCGCCGCUGAUUUACUUCGCCUUGGCGAUUCCGCUCUUUACGGUGCAGAACUUGCAGGGCCCCGCGCAGAUUGGAUUCUCUUUUCUUUCGCCAUCUGGCCUCGCUGUCGGCGUCACGAUCCUCUUCUCGCACGAGCUGAGCGGCGGCAUGACGGGCUCCGACUUGACCUACUUCCGCGACUCGCCGAAAAUGCUUGCGGUGAUCAUCAUCUUGUUUAUGGACUUCAUCAUCUACUUGGUGCUGAUGCUGUACCUGGACGCGGUCCUGCCGAAGCAGUGGGGUACGCCCAAGCACCCGCUCUUCUUCAUCAUGGAGCCGGUGCGGUGGUGCUGCCGAUCAAAGACGGGCGUGCUGGAGGGCGGCGCCGACGGGCGCGCCGAGGAUGGCGUGUUCGAGGAGAUCACAGAAGGCGGCGCCGACUACGCCGUUUGCACCACUGGGCUGCGCAAGGAGUACUCGCGCGGCGGCAAGAGGUUCGUUGCGGUGAACAACCUGUACUGGGGGAUGCGCGAGGGCGAGAUCUCUGUGCUGCUGGGGCACAACGGCGCCGGCAAGACGACGACGAUGAACAUGAUGACGGGGAUGGUAUCGGCGGACGCGGGCGACUGCUACAUUUACGGCUACUCUGUCCGCAACCAGCUAGAGAAGGCGCGCCAGCAGAUCGGAUACUGCCCGCAGCACAACAUCCUGUGGCCGAACAUGACGUGCUACGAGCAUCUUUGGUACUACGCUGCGUUGAAGGGCUUGCGAGGCGCUGCCCAGGAGGAGGCGAUCUCGCGCAUGCUCGCCGGCGUCGACCUGCAGGACAAGCGCGAUUGCCCCUCGAAGAUGCUGUCGGGCGGGCAGAAGCGGAAGCUGUCGGUUGCCGUUGCGUUUGUUGGCGGCAGCCGUCUUGUGUUUCUCGACGAGCCGACUGCCGGCAUGGACGUUGGCGCGCGCCGAUACACGUGGGGCCUGCUGCGUGCCAUGGCCAAGUACCACACCAUCCUUCUGAGCACGCACUUCAUGGACGAGGCGGAUCUGCUGGGCGAUUCCGUUGCCAUCAUGAGCAAGGGCUGCCUGCAGUGCGCGGGCAGCAACAUGUUCUUGAAGGCCAAGCUCGGGGUCGGCUACGUGCUCACCCUCUCCGUCGUCGCCCAUGUUGAUCGGAUGGCCGUUGCUGGCAUGGUGAGGGAGCACGUGCCGUCAGCGACGAGGCUCGGGUCUGGUGCGGGGGAGAUGGCCUUCCGUCUUCCCAUGAAGACCAAGGAAGCGUUCCCCAACCUGCUCGCCGAGAUCGAGGGCCGCGGCUCGCAGCUUGGCGUCAGCGCCUACAGUGUCUCUGCCACGACGCUGGAGGAGAUUUUCAUUCAAAUUGCGCAGCAGGGGGAGGCCAAGGAAGCGAUGGAGCGGAAGCGGGAGCAGCUGACGGCGCCGUUCACCGGGACGACACCAGUGGCGGCCGCGGCAUCUGCGGGCUCCUCUGCAAACCAUGUGAGCGCGCUGGCCGACAUCAGCACCGUGGAUGGUGUUUGCCAGGAACCACCGCGGCCGUCGGAUGUGUGGAAUGUCGGCCUCAUCGGGAAUGAGCUCGGUGUCUUGCACAGCCAGUUCAAGGCGAUGCUGUGGAAGCGGCUCUGGAACGCCUUGCGCGACCGCCGGACGCAAUUCUUCCAGAUUGCGUGCCCGAUGCUGUGUGUGCUGCUCGCAAUGCUACUCACGCUCAUCAAGCUAUUCCAAUACCCAGCCAUCACGCUGUCCAGCGACCUAUACGGCACAGUGGUCGAGAUCGACGUGGUCGGAUGUGAGUGGGCGAUGAACUUGAGCAUACCGUUCUCGUCGAGAGCCGUUACGGUGCAGCCGCCAUCCGCGACGUCCGUCGCAACGCUUUCCUCCUACAUGCUCGAAACGUACGACACUCACGUGGCGGAGCGGUACACCGGCCUGGUGUGCGUCGACGCGGUGACCUUCCCGCUACCGUUCACGCCAGAAAACAGGUCCGUUUCGGCCGUGAUCUACAACACCUCGGGCCUGCACUCCAGCCCGAUUGGCCUCUACAAUCUCUACAACGGCUACUACAUGGCGCACCGCGGCAAUAACGCCAGUGUGCUGACCACGGUCGUCCAAACGAUGCCCAAGACCAAGACCGAGGUCGAAGUCCAGGAUUCGAUCUACGCCCUUAUCAUCGCCAUCGUCAUCAUGAUCCCGUUCACGUUCAUUCCGUCCACGUUCGUGUCGUGGAUUGUAAAGGAGCGGGAGUGCAAGGCGCGACAUCUGCAGAACGUGUCGGGGCUCUACUUCUCCGUCUACUGGCUCGCGAACUUCUUGUUUGACAUCUGCUGCUACGUCAUCACGAUGUUCCUCAUCAUCAUCGUCUUCGCUAUCUUCAGCCGCGAUGAGUACAUUGGCGCGAGGGCUGUCGGUGCCACCAUCGUGCUGUUCUUCCUCUACGGCCUCUCCGGCGUGGCCAUGGCGUACGCUGUGAGCUUCCUGUUCAAGGAGCACUCCACAGCUCAGAACGUCGUCAUGCUCGCCAACUUCAUCACCGGCUUCCUGCUGGUUCUCUGCGUCUCGAUGCUGUCUGUGUUCGAGUCCACAAAGAAGGUGGCCGAAGUCCUACCGUGGAUCUUCCGCGUUGUGCCGAGCUUCUGCGUCGGCGAAGGCAUCAGCAACCUCGCGAAACUGAAGUUAGAGGAGUCGUUCGGUACAACAAAUACACCGUGGUCCAUGUCCGUGGUAGGCUGGCCGUGCGUGUACAUGGCGGCCGGGUUGCCUUUCUACGUCCUUGUCACCCUCUUCGUUGAUCACCCCGGACGGCGGCAACGGACGCAGCGGCUCUUCCACGACCCCGACGCGGAGCCGGACUUUGUCGAGAACGAAGACGAGGACGUCAUGGCGGAGCGCCGAAGCGUGCUCGAGUGUGAGGCGCGCCAGAGCGACCUCGUGCGCGUCGAGAACAUGAGCAAGGUGUACUCGAACGGCAAGGUGGCGGUGCGCAACAUCACCUUCGCCGUCCACCCCGGGGAGGUGUUUGGGUUCCUCGGAACGAACGGUGCUGGGAAGACGACGACGAUUUCGAUACUGUGCCAGGAGAUUUACCCGACAACUGGCCGCGCGUCCAUCUGCGGCAACGACAUCGUGACGAAGAGCCGCGAGGCGCUGCAGUGCAUCGGGUACUGCCCGCAGUUCGACGCGUGCCUGGACCUGCUGACGGUGAAAGAGCACCUGGAGCUGUACGCGGGCGUGCGGGCCAUCUCGUACGACUGUCGCAAGCGCGUGGUGGAGGGGCUGCUGGCUUUGUGCGAGUUGACGAACUACAAGCAUACCCUGGCGCACGACCUGUCCGGUGGCAACCGGCGCAAGCUGUCUGUGGCGCUUUCUCUCAUUGGAGGGCCUCGAGUCGUCUUCCUGGACGAGCCGUCGGCCGGCAUGGACCCUGUGGCGCGGCGCGGGUUAUGGACCGCAAUCGAGGCAGUCGCCGACAACAGCUCCGUUGUGCUGACGACGCACCACCUGGAGGAGGUGGAGGCGCUUGCGCAUCGCGUGGCGAUCAUGGUGGAUGGCACCCUGCGCUGCAUCGGCGACAAGACUCACUUGAAGAACAAGUUCGGCACCGGCUUCGAGGUGAAUGUGCGCAUCCGUUCUGAUGAUGAGGUGCUGAAAGAGGCUGUGCAGAACUUCUUCAGCGAGAGCUUCCCGGGAUCCUCGCUGCGCGAGUACCGUGCACGCCGCUUUACUUUCGAGCUGCCCCCCGGUACGAAGCUGUCGAGGACAUUCAGGCUUAUGGAGGAACACGCGUCGGCGCUGGGGGCGACGGACUACAGCGUGUCACAGACGUCGAUUGAGCAGGUCUUCAUGCAGAUCAGCGAGGAGGCCGAGCGGCAGCACGAGGCUGAGGAGGCGGAGCAGCUUGCCCAGACGACGAAGAGCUACUGCACGUGCUGCUGCUAGCGCGGUGGUAGUUUGGAGAGGCGAGGGGAAGGGAGAAGCGGGGCUGCCGCGAUCGUCUGCUGUGGCGGUGUGAGGGUGGGUGGGUGGGGGAGCAGCGGAGGAGAGGCAAGGAGGCGAAGUUGUGCGUGUCUCCUGUCUUUCUUGGCAUGCUGUGAUGGCGCGGAAACAGCCCCAGGCAAGGCGGACGUCGAAGGCUAAAGCGCGCUUCUUCGGUUGGGCUUUCUCCGCCCAGUGAGCGCGCACUGCCCUCUGGUCUCAUCCUCGUUACACGGCGCCGAUUUGUUAACGCCCCGCCCAACCAUGCGCGGCGCUCUCGUGUCUGCGUCUGCUCCUCCUGCCUGUGCGUGCUUUUGUUCCUCGCCUCGCGUCGAGUGGGGGUGGGCGGUCCUCCUCGUCGUUGUUCGCGUUUCGUGCCGUGCCCACCGCUCGAGCGCUAUGGGUCUCUCUGCACACACACACACACAUCUAGGUAUCACUAUACACACGCGUGUAUGUAUAUAUACAUGCACAUGCAUGCACAUAGAGAGACAGACAUGUGUAUAUGUAUACAUGCAUAUCAUUCUAUGCAUGCAUGUGAGCAUGCGUGUGUAUAUACAUGUGUAUGUGUAAGACGCGGCUCGUUCUCGGCCUUUCCGCUGUCACGAGUGUCCUCCGCUUGUCGCGACGGGUCAGCCGAUUCCCGUUCUUCUUUUUUUUGUUUGUCUUCAUCUAUUUGUGCUUCGCCUAUUAUGCUCAUGCUUACGACGUGCAUCCGUGCGUGCUUGCUCGCUUUUGUUUUUGUUGCUGCCGACGCCCACAUCUUAUCCUCGUCGCAGCUUGCCUAUACCGAGUACAUCUAUGCAUGCAUGUAUAUAUAUAUAUACUUGUUUUGUGCGCACGCGCGUCGGGUCGCUCCUCUGCACAGUCGCUGUGCUGUGCUCUCGGGGGCACCCCUUUUCUUUUCGAAGUAACCAUUCUUUUCCUUUUUUCGGCCAUUGGUGCCGUGGCUAUGCUUCUGCAUCGCCUGCGGACUCAAUCAUUGAUUGCGUUCGCUCGGGAUUAGGGGGAGGGGGCCGCGCUUACAUAUAUGCGUGCAUGUGCUGCUGGCGCCGUGCUUACUCCGUCUCUCUGGCAUCGCUGCUGUAUCUUGAGCUGCGCGAGCUGUGUGUGGUCUGCCGAUGAUGUCUCCUCACACACCACCACCGCUUCCCGUGCUUCACUGAAUUCCCGCUUCCGUGCCAGAGCGUCGAACGCUGUGCGAUGCGCGUGUGCGCAUGGGCGCUGACUUCCUCCUCUCUCCCGCGUCCUUUUCAGCGUACGAUGCUUGCUGUUGUCACGCAGACACCAAUAAAAAAGAUAUCGGCAGCGUGCGAUCUCAGACCGACAACGAAGACGCGCCCGCAUAGCACGCCGCGAAUGCACAGCGGUGGCUACACGCGUAAAG
RNAcentral lists this unclassified non-coding RNA (10178 nucleotides) under Leishmania donovani. RNAcentral describes it as "gene:unknown". Lineage: Eukaryota; Euglenozoa; Kinetoplastea; Trypanosomatida; Trypanosomatidae. The record is from RNAcentral.